AUACGUAGGGUGCGAGCGUUGUCCGGAAUUACUGGGCGUAAAGAGCUCGUAGGUGGUUUGUCGCGUCGUCUGUGAAAUUCCGGGGCUUAACUCCGGGCGUGCAGGCGAUACGGGCAUAACUUGAGUACUGUAGGGGAGACUGGAAUUCCUGGUGUAGCGGUGAAAUGCGCAGAUAUCAGGAGGAACACCGGUGGCGAAGGCGGGUCGCUGGGCAGUAACUGACGCUGAGGAGCGAAAGCAUGGGUAGCGAACAGGAUUAGAUACCCUGGUAGGCCAUGCCGUAAACGGUGGGCGCUAGGUGUAGGGGUCUUCCACGACUUCUGUGCCGUAGCUAACGCAUUAAGCGCCCCGCCUGGGGAGUACGGCCGCAAGGCUAAAACUCAAAUGAAUUGACGGGG
This 398-nucleotide ribosomal RNA is filed under the name uncultured bacterium. Its description in RNAcentral is "partial 16S ribosomal RNA". It matches the Rfam family "Bacterial small subunit ribosomal RNA", at positions 523 to 918 of the family's 1533-position model. The record is from RNAcentral.